Molecule: ribosomal RNA, 338 nt
Filed under: uncultured bacterium
Lineage: Bacteria
Description: bacterial SSU rRNA
Rfam family: Bacterial small subunit ribosomal RNA
Source: RNAcentral
UUUGACGUUACCUACACGAAGAAGACACCGGCUAACUCCGUGCCAGCAGCCGCGGUAAUACGGAGGGUGCGAGCGUUAAUCGGAAUUACUGGGCGUAAAGCGCAUGCAGGCGGCCUGUUAAGUCAGAUGUGAAAGCCCGGGGCGUUAACCUCGGAAUUGCAUUUGAAACUGGCAGGCUAGAGUCUUGUAGAGGGGGGUAGGAAGUUUCUAGGUGUAGCGGUGAAAUAGCGUAGAGAUCUCGAAGGAAUACCAGUGGCGAAGGCGGCCCCCUCGGACAAAGACUGACGCUCACGAUGCGAAAGCGUGGGGACGCAAACAGGAUUAGAUACCCCUGGUAG